RNAcentral lists this ribosomal RNA (423 nucleotides) under Staphylococcus aureus. Its description in RNAcentral is "bacterial SSU rRNA". It matches the Rfam family "Bacterial small subunit ribosomal RNA", at positions 63 to 472 of the family's 1533-position model. Lineage: Bacteria; Bacillati; Bacillota; Bacilli; Caryophanales; Staphylococcaceae. The record is from RNAcentral.
CGAACGGACGAGAAGCUUGCUUCUCUGAUGUUAGCGGCGGACGGGUGAGUAACACGUGGAUAACCUACCUAUAAGACUGGGAUAACUUCGGGAAACCGGAGCUAAUACCGGAUAAUAUUUUGAACCGCAUGGUUCAAAAGUGAAAGACGGUCUUGCUGUCACUUAUAGAUGGAUCCGCGCUGCAUUAGCUAGUUGGUAAGGUAACGGCUUACCAAGGCAACGAUGCAUAGCCGACCUGAGAGGGUGAUCGGCCACACUGGAACUGAGACACGGUCCAGACUCCUACGGGAGGCAGCAGUAGGGAAUCUUCCGCAAUGGGCGAAAGCCUGACGGAGCAACGCCGCGUGAGUGAUGAAGGUCUUCGGAUCGUAAAACUCUGUUAUUAGGGAAGAACAUAUGUGUAAGUAACUGUGCACAUCUUGA